This 3425-nucleotide small RNA is filed under the name Pongo abelii (Sumatran orangutan). RNAcentral describes it as "processed transcript". The record is from RNAcentral. Lineage: Eukaryota; Metazoa; Chordata; Mammalia; Primates; Hominidae.
CACACAUUUGACAAUUCAUCUCGUGUUGCCCUGUGACACUGCUGUUAUUGCUUAAGUGUUGGGUUGCUUUUAGCUUGUCCUUUGUUUGAAAGCUUGUGCCCCUCCAAGUGCCUUGCACAGGGCCUGGUACGCCAUACACGAUGGCUGAUAUAUUAAAGACAUACACAGUGCGGUCCUGUCUUUCUCCGGAAGCCAACGCUCUAAUUGUGGAUGAAGUUGAGGAACAGCUACACUAACAUGGAGCCAAGGCUGCCCUGACCUCUUUUGAGAAUGCUCCUUCUGACUUCCUUUGUUCCCUAAGGACAUGCAGGAGGCAGACCCUCUUCUCCCCAAGUCUCUGCUUUCUAGAAGCCCCUCUGUCUGGGUUUGGCUUUCUAGGAUGCAGGCCACCAGGACUCUCUCUUCCGCUGUCAUCCCUGCAGGGAUCAUGGCCCCUUACCCCGUUAUUCCUGUGUCCGGCAGAGUCUUCGGAUGACUCCUACGUGUCUGCUGGAGAAGAGCCCCUAGAGGCCCCCGUGUUUGAGAUUCCCCUGCAGAAUGUGGUGGUGGCACCAGGGGCAGACGUGCUGCUCAAGUGUAUCGUCACUGCCAACCCCCCGCCCCAAGUGUCCUGGCACAAGGAUGGGUCAGCGCUGCGCAGUGAGGGCCGCCUCCUCAUCCGGGCCGAGGGUGAGCGGCACACCCUGCUGCUCAGGGAGGCCAGGGCAGCGGAUGCCGGGAGCUAUAUGGCCACCGCCACCAACGAGCUGGGCCAGGCCACCUGUGCCGCCUCACUGACCGUGAGACCCGGUGGGUCUACAUCCCCUUUUAGCAGCCCCAUCACCUCCGACGAGGAGUACCUGAGCCCCCCAGAGGAGUUCCCAGAGCCUGGGGAGACCUGGCCCCGAACCCCCACCAUGAAGCCCAGUCCCAGCCAGAACCGCCGUUCUUCUGACACUGGCUCCAAGGCACCCCCCACCUUCAAGGUCUCACUUAUGGACCAGUCAGUAAGAGAAGGCCAAGAUGUCAUCAUGAGCAUCCGCGUGCAGGGGGAGCCCAAGCCUGUGGUCUCCUGGCUGAGAAACCGCCAGCCUGUGCGCCCGGACCAGCGGCGCUUUGCGGAGGAGGCUGAGGGUGGGCUGUGCCGGCUGCGGAUCCUGGCUGCGGAGCGUGGCGAUGCUGGUUUCUACACUUGCAAAGCAGUCAAUGAGUAUGGCGCUCGGCAGUGCGAGGCCCGCUUGGAGGUCCGAGGUGAGUACCUGAUUUCUCCAUGAACACCCACCUGGCCCUGGCCCCUUCCUUCCCCCACUGUCUGCUCUCACACAGCCUCAGUUAGAGGAUACCACCACUGAAAGGGCCUUAACGGGCCCCAGUCCAGCUGCUUAUAUUAUUGUUGAGUGAACCAAAGCCCGGAGACAGGAAGUGACCUGCCCAAAGCUGCACAGCACAUUGUUCCGUGCUCAGCUUACUACACAACCCCACCUUCCCUGUUGCUCCAUCACGGAGCCCUGGCGGCAGCCAGAGACCCUGCACCUGCCACUGGCCAAGCUCUCUCUACACUCUUCUGAGCCUUUGUCACCCUGCUCUGCCCAGGACCCUCCCUCAUCCCCCUCCCCCUCUCCUCUCGCCCCUUUGCCCACCCUCCCAUCCCAUUGCUGUGCAGAAGCUACUGUGAGGUAGCGGUGGGGAGAGUCUGGUGGCUGGACCCGUUCGGAGGGGCCCUUGGGGUGGCUUAGGCUUGGAGCAUCACAGGGACCCUAGGGUGCCAGGGUGAGCACAGCUGUGACGUGUGAAGAGGCCUGGGCCCCCAGAGCCUGGGGCAUACGUGCAGGGGCCCUCUCAGGCAGCAGGAAUGCCAGGCCCUGGCUAGGGGGCCCUCGAGGGCCGUGGGUUUUCCUCACCGAAGUCCACAACCGUUUAUCUUGCCUUCCACCUCACCCUUCGCCUCAAUGGCUCCUCGCUUCCUCUCCUCGCUUCUCACUCAGCCCCCAGCCCCUGACCUUCCCCAAGGCUCAGAGCUCAGACCCUGACAGUCAUGGUCCCUCUGCUGGCCCUCCGCCUCAGUUCCCCUCCUCUGUGCCCGCCGUUCCUGUAGUUGCCACUUCCUUGGUCUCCAGAUUCUUCAGCCCUCCUCCCUGGCCUGCUUUCUCUCCAGGGCCUGGCUCUGCCUCGCUUCUCUGUAUUAACCCAUGUCUCGGUGCUUCUUUCUCUUGGGGAUUCCUUCCGACACCCCCAGGCUUUGGGGUGCUCCUGAUCCCAUGAAUGCCUGGUUGCCCGGGCCUCUGCCUGCCCAGGAACCCCGAGGAACCAGUCUCUGGCUAGCUGCCGGCCCUCGCAGCCCAGAGCUGACCUUGGGGGAGCCGAGAGUGGCAGUGCUGCCCUGGCAGUGUGAGAGGCAGCCCUCUAUGCAGAAGGGCCCUAGCCAGGUCUGCGUGCCUGUGCGUGCAUGUGUGCGUGUGUGUGCGUGCAUGUGUGCGUGUGCAUGAGUGCGUGUGUGUGCAUGUGUGCGUAUGCAUGUGUGUGUGCAUGCGUGUGUGUGCGUGUGCGUGCGUGUGCGUGUGCAUGUGUGUGUGUGUGCGCGCGCGUGCGCGUAUGCUGCACUAACCUGCCGCUUGCUGACUGAGGUUUUUGUCUGUACACAGGCGAGUGAGCUCAGGGGGCCACCUGCGCUCCCCCCGCUACCCUCCGAGCCGCGCCCCUGUCUCAGGCACCUCUCGGACCUCGCUGUGUUUCACUGCCUCCUGCCCACAGACCCAGGCCUGCCGGCCCGGACCCGUCCCAGCCUCCCCUCCCACCCCAUGCAGCCCCCAGGGGGAUAGCCCAUGGGCCCCUGUGGACCCUCCCUCCCCAAGUGGACACAUGGCUGUGCAGGCCAGGAGGCCCACAGAUGGACUGAGUGCUGGGAAGGGGUGGCUGCGAGGGGUAUCAACCCCCCGAGUCUCUCCCUGAAGGGGAGCACCGGGCGAGUGCAUGUGCUACUGCUGCUACAGGCCUGUCUAUCUGUUUGUCUGUCUGUGUGUCUGUGAUAGUCAGGGAAGGAUGCCUCGGAGCUGAGGUGGGGUGAGACAGAGUGGGAGAGAUUACGGCAUGGCAUGGAGGGGCCCAAGGAGCAGGGGCUGUUGACAAGGGCCUUACCAGGAAGGGUUAGGACACUGACCAUUCUAGAAAUGGGUUUCGAAUGGCACAACACUUUCUAUUCCACAAAAGACCAAAAGCCAGAGGCCCCAGGCUCUGUGCUGAUGAGCAGCCUGGCUGAGCCCUGGCCCUGGCAGGUUUAGGGCCCGUUUGGGGCCCCCUCCUUCUCUGUCAGGGCUGGGGUGCUCUGUCUGGGAAUGAGGGAGUUAACCAGGUUUGGUGCAGGAACAGGGGCAGGGGGCCACUGUAGUGAGCGUGGAGAGACUUGGAAACACCUAUUUCUUAACUCAAAUAAAGUCCAGUUUGUACCC